RNAcentral lists this ribosomal RNA (292 nucleotides) under uncultured bacterium. RNAcentral describes it as "partial 16S ribosomal RNA". It matches the Rfam family "Bacterial small subunit ribosomal RNA", at positions 505 to 796 of the family's 1533-position model. The record is from RNAcentral.
GUGCCAGCCGCCGCGGUAAUACGUAGGGGGCAAGCGUUGUCCGGAAUCAUUGGGCGUAAAGCGCGCGUAGGCGGCCCGGUAAGUCCGCUCUGAAAGUCCAGGGCUUAACCCUGGAAAGCGGGUGGAUACUGCCGGGCUUGAAUCCGGAAGAGGCGAGUGGAAUUCCUGGUGUAGCGGUGGAAUGCGCAGAUAUCAGGAGGAACACCAAUAGCGAAGGCAGCUCGCUGGGACGGUAUUGACGCUAAGGCGCGAAAGCGUGGGGAGCAAACAGGAUUAGAUACCCUGGUAGUCC